Molecule: ribosomal RNA, 782 nt
Filed under: uncultured Neocallimastigales
Lineage: Eukaryota; Fungi; Neocallimastigomycota; Neocallimastigomycetes; Neocallimastigales
Description: partial large subunit ribosomal RNA
Rfam family: Eukaryotic large subunit ribosomal RNA
Source: RNAcentral
CUAUACAUGACUCUGCGCAUAUCAAUAAGCGGAGGAAAAGAAACUAACAAGGAUUCCCCUAGUAACGGCGAGUGAAGCGGGAAGAGCUCAAAUUUGAAAUCUUAAAGGGUUUUCCUUGACGAAUUGUAGUUUAAAGAAGUGUUUUCUGUUAGAGAGGUUCGGUAAAAGUUCUUUGGAAUAGGACAUCAUAGAGGGUGAGAAUCCCGUAUUUGACCUUACUUUCCUAACUGUGUGAUACACUUUCAACGAGUCGGAUUGUUUGGGAAUGCAGUCCAGAAUGGGUGGUAGAUUUCAUCUAAAGCUAAAUAUUGGCGAGAGACCGAUAGCGAACAAGUACCGUGAGGGAAAGAUGAAAAGAACUUUGAAAAGAGAGUUAAACAGUACGUGAAAUUGUCAAAAGGGAAGCGUUUGACACCAGUGUUGUUUUCUCGAAAAUCAAUUAAGAAUGAUGUAUUUUGAGGAUUGUAUUGACUUUAUCAGGCUUUCUGCACUUUUUUCUGAAUCUUUUUAAUGCACUUUUCGGUUAACAAGUCAACAUCAAUUUCAUUUGUUGUAAAAGAGGUCAUUGAGGAAGGUGGCUUUCUUUCGGAGAAAGUGUUUAUAGCCUUGUGCUUCUGCAAUCGGAGAGAUUGAGGUCUGCAGCGUAGAUCCUUCGGGGUUAGAUACAGUUUGUGCUAAGUUAUAGCCUUUCAUAGACAACUUGUUGACUAUGAUCAGUCAUGUAGCUUACUCGCUGAUGUUAUUUUACCUACGCUUAGGAUGUUGACACACGCGCGUGCUCG